This is a long non-coding RNA of Xiphophorus couchianus (Monterrey platyfish), 1653 nucleotides long. RefSeq lists it as uncharacterized. Lineage: Eukaryota; Metazoa; Chordata; Actinopteri; Cyprinodontiformes; Poeciliidae. The record is from RefSeq and is a predicted model, not a curated record. The transcript has 2 exons.
UCAGAUCAAACACAACAAACAUCACAAUCAGCUGUGACUGAAUCAGCAACUCCUGCAGGAACUUUCAGGCUUUUAAUGAUGAUACAGGUUUCAGUCUCCAGGUCUACGUUUUGGAACCGGUACCAGCAGGACCAGAUCCUGGAACCGGCAGCUGUUGGACCCGACCCGGUUCUCCUCUCAGAACCUGCCUGAGCCUGACCCGGUUAUCCAUCUCUGCUCAUAUUUUGUAUUUCAUGGCGGCGGUUGCGUGACGCUUCAUCCCUGAGAUUUAAUGUUUAUCUGAGUUUUUCCUCAGGAGUUAAAACAUUUCUGACUCUGAAUGUCAGUAAUCAUUUUUCAUCCUGUAAUUCCAGUCAUGCUUUGGGAACUUCCUUCCUUCAGACGGUUUUGACGUGUUAAACCCCCAUCGACUGCAGCCAGGCGGAGACGGAGCGACUGGUUCUGCAGGUUCUCUGCUUUCAGCCCGGCCCACCUGGACACACAGCACACCUUUGUGAGGCAGAGCCUUUCCUCACAAUGAGGCCGAGCCGCUGCAGAGCAGAUACUCUGUCCCUGAAAGCAACUCGUGUUUCUGCUCCAGCACGGUUUCAACCCGGCUGGGAAAUCGCAGCAGGUUCUGAAAAUGUUUUCUGAUGGAACUGUUAUAAAUAUUUCACUCUCAGUGUUCUGACUGUUUAUAGCUCCAAUCUAAAUGAAAGGUUUAAAAUAAUAAAGUGGCAAAAAGCCCAGCAGUUUUACUUUUAUUGUUUCUGAAAAUAAUGCAGAACAAAAUGUAACAGCAGUUAGCUGAACAGCUAGCAAGGUAAUAACUUCACAACUAGCUAGUAAAUAGUUAAUAAAUCACUAACAAAUGGAUAAACAACUAAAGCUAGCUAGAGCUAAGAAGUAUCAAAUAUCAGUUUAAACAUUUUAAGGAGUAGCAUGCUAGCAGCUAACAAGGCAGAGGCUAUGUGCACACAGCAAGUCUGGAAACGUGACUUUGAUUUUUUACUGAAAUUUUAUUAUUUUUGUGUGAAUCAUUCAUGACAAGCAAGUUGCUAACAGCUUGUUAUCAAGUGGCUAUACAGUUGUAUACAGCUGCCCACAGCUAGGUAGCAUAGCAGCAAAGCUAUUAAGCUAGUUAGCUAGUGUAAUAAACUCUCAACAUGAAACCUUUAGUUUCAUAACAGAGAAACUAAUCAGCCUUUAACUUUCAUUUAAAAUGAAAACAGCUUUAUAAUGUGUUAAGUAGCAUGUAGCCUAUGCUAGCUGCUUAUCCACAUAAAACUGUUUUGAUUUUUUUUUGCUGUUUUCUGUUGGAAAAACUGUAAAUACGUCAGCAGAACAUGAACCCAAACACGUCUUUGAUUUUUAUGAGGGUUUAGAAAGAUGAACAUCAGCGUUUUAGCAUUUAUAUUGAGAGCCAUGUGUCUCAUUGCUGCCUUGUUUUGAAUCUGAGCUAAUAAAAGUUUAUUGGCUGCAGAGCAAAGGAGAAUAUUUAAGGUGGAACACAGAAUUGAACGUGUAAAAACAAGACGAACCCGUGACUAGAUGGUGGAGUGGAACUGGAAACUCAUUUCCAAAGCAAAACAACCUGAUGUGAAUAAAACCCAUCUGCUAGAAUAUUUCUGUUGUUGUUUUUAAAUAUAAUCACAGAUCAAUAACCAAACCUUU